UACAGAGGUCUCAACCGUUGUUCGGAUUCAUUGGGCGUAAAGGGUGCGUAGGCGGUCGCGCAAGUCGGAUGUGAAAUCUCAGGGCUCAACCCUGAAACUGCAUUCGAUACUGCGUGGCUUGAGUACUGGAGAGGAGACUGGAAUUUACGGUGUAGCAGUGAAAUGCGUAGAUAUCGUAAGGAAGACCAGUGGCGAAGGCGAGUCUCUGGACAGUUACUGACGCUGAGGCACGAAGGCCAGGGGAGCAAACGGG
Molecule: ribosomal RNA, 253 nt
Filed under: uncultured bacterium
Lineage: Bacteria
Description: partial 16S ribosomal RNA
Rfam family: Bacterial small subunit ribosomal RNA
Source: RNAcentral